CGGUUAAGUUAGAAAGGGCGCACGGUGGAUGCCUUGGCACUAGGAGCCGAUGAAGGACGGGACGAACACCGAUAUGCUUCGGGGAGCUGUAAGCAAGCUUUGAUCCGGAGAUUUCCGAAUGGGGAAACCCACCACUCGUAAUGGAGUGGUAUCCAUAUCUGAAUACAUAGGAUAUGAGAAGGCAGACCCGGGGAACUGAAACAUCUAAGUACCCGGAGGAAGAGAAAGCAAAUGCGAUUCCCUGAGUAGCGGCGAGCGAAACGGGACCAGCCCAAACCAAGAGGCUUGCCUCUUGGGGUUGUAGGACACUCUGUACGGAGUUACAAAGGAACGAGGUAGAUGAAGAGGUCUGGAAAGGCCCGCCAUAGAAGGUAACAGCCCUGUAGUCAAAACUUCGUUCUCUCCUGAGUGGAUCCUGAGUACGGCGGAACACGUGAAAUUCCGUCGGAAUCCGGGAGGACCAUCUCCCAAGGCUAAAUACUCCCUAGUGACCGAUAGUGAACCAGUACCGUGAGGGAAAGGUGAAAAGCACCCCGGAAGGGGAGUGAAAGAGAUCCUGAAACCGUGUGCCUACAAGUAGUCAGAGCCCGUUAACGGGUGAUGGCGUGCCUUUUGUAGAAUGAACCGGCGAGUUACGAUCCCGUGCAAGGUUAAGCAGAAGAUGCGGAGCCGCAGCGAAAGCGAGUCUGAAUAGGGCGAAUUGAGUACGUGGUCGUAGACCCGAAACCAGGUGAUCUACCCAUGUCCAGGGUGAAGUUCAGGUAACACUGAAUGGAGGCCCGAACCCACGCACGUUGAAAAGUGCGGGGAUGAGGUGUGGGUAGGGGUGAAAUGCCAAUCGAACCUGGAGAUAGCUGGUUCUCUCCGAAAUAGCUUUAGGGCUAGCCUCAAGGUAAGAGUCUCGGAGGUAGAGCACUGAUUGGACUAGGGGCCCCUACCGGGUUACCGAAUUCAGUCAAACUCCGAAUGCCGAUGACUUAUCCUUGGGAGUCAGACUGCGAGUGAUAAGAUCCGUAGUCGAAAGGGAAACAGCCCAGACCGCCAGCUAAGGUCCCAAAGUAUACGUUAAGUGGAAAAGGAUGUGGAGUUGCUUAGACAACCAGGAUGUUGGCUUAGAAGCAGCCACCAUUUAAAGAGUGCGUAAUAGCUCACUGGUCGAGUGACUCUGCGCCGAAAAUGUACCGGGGCUAAACGUAUCACCGAAGCUGCGGACUGUUCUUCGAACAGUGGUAGGAGAGCGUUCUAAGGGCUGUGAAGCAAGACCGGAAGGACUUGUGGAGCGCUUAGAAGUGAGAAUGCCGGUAUGAGUAGCGAAAGAGGGGUGAGAAUCCCCUCCACCGAAUGCCUAAGGUUUCCUGAGGAAGGCUCGUCCGCUCAGGGUUAGUCGGGACCUAAGCCGAGGCCGAAAGGCGUAGGCGAUGGAUAACAGGUUGAUAUUCCUGUACCACCUCCUCACCAUUUGAGCAAUGGGGGGACGCAGGAGGAUAGGGUAAGCGCGGUAUUGGAUAUCCGCGUCCAAGCAGUUAGGCUGGGAAAUAGGCAAAUCCGUUUCCCGUGAAGGCUGAGCUGUGAUGGCGAGCGAAUUAUAGUAGCGAAGUUCCUGAUUCCACACUGCCAAGAAAAGCCUCUAGCGAGGUGAGAGGUGCCCGUACCGCAAACCGACACAGGUAGGCGAGGAGAGAAUCCUAAGGUGAUCGAGAGAACUCUCGUUAAGGAACUCGGCAAAAUGACCCCGUAACUUCGGGAGAAGGGGUGCUCUGUUAGGGUGCAAGCCCGAGAGAGCCGCAGUGAAUAGGCCCAGGCGACUGUUUAGCAAAAACACAGGUCUCUGCGAAGCCGUAAGGCGAAGUAGAGGGGCUGACGCCUGCCCGGUGCUGGAAGGUUAAGAGGAGCGCUUAGCGUAAGCGAAGGUGCGAAUUGAAGCCCCAGUAAACGGCGGCCGUAACUAUAACGGUCCUAAGGUAGCGAAAUUCCUUGUCGGGUAAGUUCCGACCCGCACGAAAGGCGCAACGAUCUGGGCACUGUCUCAACGAGAGACUCGGUGAAAUUAUAGUACCUGUGAAGAUGCAGGUUACCCGCGACAGGACGAAAAGACCCCGUGGAGCUUUACUGCAGCCUGAUAUUGAAUGUUGGUACAGCUUGUACAGGAUAGGUAGGAGCCUUGGAAACCGGAGCGCCAGCUUCGGUGGAGGCAUCGGUGGGAUACUACCCUGGCUGUAUUGACCUUCUAACCCGCCGCCCUUAUCGGGCGGGGAGACAGUGUCAGGUGGGCAGUUUGACUGGGGCGGUCGCCUCCUAAAAGGUAACGGAGGCGCCCAAAGGUUCCCUCAGAAUGGUUGGAAAUCAUUCGCAGAGUGUAAAGGCACAAGGGAGCUUGACUGCGAGACCUACAAGUCGAGCAGGGACGAAAGUCGGGCUUAGUGAUCCGGUGGUUCCGCAUGGAAGGGCCAUCGCUCAACGGAUAAAAGCUACCCCGGGGAUAACAGGCUUAUCUCCCCCAAGAGUCCACAUCGACGGGGAGGUUUGGCACCUCGAUGUCGGCUCAUCGCAUCCUGGGGCUGUAGUCGGUCCCAAGGGUUGGGCUGUUCGCCCAUUAAAGCGGUACGCGAGCUGGGUUCAGAACGUCGUGAGACAGUUCGGUCCCUAUCCGUCGCGGGCGCAGGAAAUUUGAGAGGAGCUGUCCUUAGUACGAGAGGACCGGGAUGGACGCACCGCUGGUGUACCAGUUGUUCUGCCAAGGGCAUCGCUGGGUAGCUAUGUGCGGACGGGAUAAGUGCUGAAAGCAUCUAAGCAUGAAGCCCCCCUCAAGAUGAGAUUUCCCAUUCCGCAAGGAAGUAAGAUCCCUGAAAGAUGAUCAGGUUGAUAGGUCUGAGGUGGAAGUGUGGCGACACAUGGAGCUGACAGAUACUAAUCGAUCGAGGACUUAACCAAUUU
This 2934-nucleotide ribosomal RNA is filed under the name Bacillus velezensis. Its description in RNAcentral is "23S ribosomal RNA". It matches the Rfam family "Bacterial large subunit ribosomal RNA". The record is from RNAcentral. Lineage: Bacteria; Bacillati; Bacillota; Bacilli; Caryophanales; Bacillaceae.